CAAGACCACAAUUCUUUGGAGAAAAAUGGAUGAAGUUCUAGGCGUGGAACCCAAGAGAUCUCUAAGACAAUUCAUACAUUUUACCCAUCUUAGAAUAGCUGGUUUAGGAACCAAUCUUAGCUGCUUCAAUCAGAUUCAUGUCCUUUUAUUCAGAUGAAAGAUGGAAAAACACAAUGCUAUAUACUUUGGAAUAUUGUAUGGGCUUAUAAUCAGCAUACUUAAUUUCAAGCCAUUCCUUGGCCACUGAAUGGUCACUACUAAAUCACACAACCCACCCAACCGGAGAAUUAAAUUAAAUAUCUGGAGCGAUUUAAUGAACAUGCAUUUGUGGCCACAGUGAAGAUACAAAUAAGUGCUGGAUAUUAGACUUUUAUCAGACACAUAGACUAGUGGAACAGAAUAGAGAACCCAGAGAUAAGAUCACACACCUUCAACCAUCUGAUCUUUGACAAACCUGACAAAAACAAGCAAUGGGGAAAGGAAUCCCUUUUCAAUAAAUGGUGUUGGGAGAACUGGC
Molecule: long non-coding RNA, 517 nt
Organism: Piliocolobus tephrosceles (Ugandan red Colobus)
Lineage: Eukaryota; Metazoa; Chordata; Mammalia; Primates; Cercopithecidae
Exons: 4
Source: RefSeq, a predicted model, not a curated record